This 382-nucleotide ribosomal RNA is filed under the name uncultured eukaryote. RNAcentral's name for it is "partial 18S ribosomal RNA". It matches the Rfam family "Eukaryotic small subunit ribosomal RNA", at positions 592 to 976 of the family's 1831-position model. The record is from RNAcentral.
UGUAAGCGUAUACCAAAGUUGUUGCAGUUAAAACGCUCGUAGUCGGAAUUUGGCAGUUCCGGAUGUGUGCACGUCGUGUGCGCACUUCGCGGGGAUUGCUUUUGUGGUCUUGCGUAGGAUGAGGCACUUUUAUUUGUGAACGUCCUCACGCAACCACUUUUUACUGUGAGAAAAUCAGAGUGCUCAAAGCAGGCAUUUGCCGUGAAUGUAUUAGCAUGGAAUAAUAGAAUAGGACUUGGUUCUAUUUUGUUGGUUUGUUGGGACUGAGUAAUGAUUAAGAGGGACAGUUGGGGGCAUUUGUAUUUCGGUGCUAGAGGUGAAAUUCUUAGAUUACCGAAAGACAAACUGCUGCGAAAGCGUCUGCCAAGGAUGUUUUCAUUGA